AUUGAACGCUGGCGGCAUGCCUUACACAUGCAAGUCGAACGGUAACAGGUCUUCGGAUGCUGACGAGUGGCGAACGGGUGAGUAAUACAUCGGAACGUGCCCGAUCGUGGGGGUAACGGAACCGAAAGCUUUGUUAAUACGGCUUAGGAUCUACGGUGGAAACCGGGGGACCGAAAGCCCUUGCGCGAACGGGCCGGCCGAUGGCAGAUUAGGUAGUUGGUGGGAUAAAAGCUUACCAAGCCGACGAUCUGUAGCUGGUCUGAGAGGACGACCAGCCACACUGGGACUGAGACACGGCCCAGACUCCUACGGGAGGCAGCAGUGGGGAAUUUUGGACAAUGGGCGAAAGCCUGAUCCAGCCAUGCCGCGUGCAGGAUGAAGGCCUUCGGGUUGUAAACUGCUUUUGUACGGAACGAAAAGACUCUGGUUAAUACCUGGGGUCCAUGACGGUACCGUAAGAAUAAGCACCGGCUAACUACGUG
This 482-nucleotide ribosomal RNA is filed under the name uncultured bacterium. RNAcentral describes it as "partial 16S ribosomal RNA". It matches the Rfam family "Bacterial small subunit ribosomal RNA", at positions 30 to 507 of the family's 1533-position model. The record is from RNAcentral.